Molecule: long non-coding RNA, 808 nt
Filed under: Setaria viridis
Lineage: Eukaryota; Viridiplantae; Streptophyta; Magnoliopsida; Poales; Poaceae
Description: long non-coding RNA (SVIR_LNC009009)
Source: RNAcentral
UUUUUAGAUUUUCGAGUUCUUGCAAGGAUCCCUGUAAUUUUGGCAUUAUCAUGACGUAGGUAGGUAGGGCUUUGGGGUUGCUGUUUUGGGAAUUGUUAGGCUCAGCUUUGGGUAUUUGAUUCGGCCGAUUUGGUGGAGCUAGUUGUAUGUCUUGUAGAGGCUAGGGAGGUGUGAAGCUUGCAGUUUACGAGGCAUGCUAACUUUGAGGUUGAAACUGUGGUGAUGGUUGCCACAUCAUGGUGGGUUGGUAGUUGAAGGGAGGACUGGUAAAUGAGUUCGCGAGGCUAGGUGUAUAGACGGUGUUGAGGUUCGCUUGUGGAUAAGCUUGGUAGUAUGGCUGUUGCAGCCAAAAAGAGGUGUGGUGGAUGGUUUUUAGCGCUGCAACUCCUUUUUUUUCUUUAGCUAUUCUUUCAAAAGUCAUUUUUGUUUCUGGGCAGAAGUCGGUCGCGUGAUCUAGUUGCCUGCCACGAAAUGUGCAAUAGAACAUUAGAGGUUGGUUGUUCUGAUUGUGCGGCCUCGGAGGUCCUCUGCCUCGGCCUCUCCGUCUUCCAAAAUGACUGCCUCAUUGUCAAAUUGUCAUAGCUUGUUUGUUGCUGUUGUUGGGGUUGUCUAUUAUGAUUUUGACUUUGCUGCUAUGAGGAUUGAGCACCCUCAAUUGGUAGCACAUGCUGAGCUGGAUAUGGUUGUUGAUGUUGUGCAAAAUUGUAUUUUGAGGUUUGCCAAUUCUGAUCUUUUUGAACUUGCCUUUGACGGUUUCUCUCCAUUACUCUUUUUUUGUGGUCCUCAUCUUACCUGCAGUAUUUUUCCA